AUGGUAGAGGUGGGAGCGGUGAGCAGCCCAGAGAAUACAGUGGAGCACAGUCUUGUAUCUCUGCCUGUCCCAGAGGGAGCUGUCGCCUCUCUCAGCUGCACUUAUUCUGACAGUGCUUCUGUGUAUUUCGUAUGGUACAGACAGUACCCUGGGAAAGGCCCUGAGUUUCUGCUGUCUGUAUAUGCCAACAAAGACAAAGAGGAAGGAAAAUUUACAGCGCAGGCCAACAAAGCAAACAAGCAUGUCUCUCUGCUUAUCAGAGACUCCGAGCCCAGCGACUCAGCCACCUACCUCUGUGCAGAGAGCACACAGUGCUCCCCAGGCACCUGCAGCCUGUGCCCAAACCUGCUGGGGCCCCAGCAGUGCCUCUUGGAGAGCUUAGGCUGCAGGGCACAGACAUCCGCACAUUACCGCUCUAGAUGUGAAUGA
Non-coding RNA from Dama dama (fallow deer), 429 nucleotides. NCBI's taxonomy places the organism in Eukaryota, Metazoa, Chordata, Mammalia, Artiodactyla, Cervidae. The record is from the annotation of a RefSeq genome assembly.